Molecule: ribosomal RNA, 293 nt
Filed under: uncultured bacterium
Lineage: Bacteria
Description: partial 16S ribosomal RNA
Rfam family: Bacterial small subunit ribosomal RNA
Source: RNAcentral
GUGUCAGCCGCCGCGGUAAAACGUAGGAGGCGAGCGUUAUCCGGAUUCACUGGGCGUAAAGCGCGCGUAGGCGGUUUGUUAAGUCGGACGUGAAAGCCCCUGGCUCAACUGGGGGAGGCCGUUCGAUACUGGCAGGCUUGAGGGUGAGAGAGGAGAGUGGAAUUCCCGGUGUAGCGGUGGAAUGCGUAGAGAUCGGGAGGAACACCAGUGGCGAAGGCGACUCUCUGGCUCACCCCUGACGCUGAUAGCGCGAAAGCGUGGGGAGCAAACGGGAUUAGAUACCCCCGUAGUCC